UGAUUUUUUUUGUUGUUGUUUUAGUUUUAGGUUUUGUUCUGCUCAGAUUGAACGCUGGCGGCAGGCUUAACACAUGCAAGUCGAACGAUGACUCUCUAGCUUGCUAGAGAUGAUUAGUGGCGGACGGGUGAGUAACAUUUAGGAAUCUGCCUAGUAGUGGGGGAUAGCUCGGGGAAACUCGAAUUAAUACCGCAUACGACCUACGGGUGAAAGGGGGCGCAAGCUCUUGCUAUUAGAUGAGCCUAAAUCAGAUUAGCUAGUUGGUGGGGUAAAGGCCCACCAAGGCGACGAUCUGUAACUGGUCUGAGAGGAUGAUCAGUCACACCGGAACUGAGACACGGUCCGGACUCCUACGGGAGGCAGCAGUGGGGAAUAUUGGACAAUGGGGGCAACCCUGAUCCAGCCAUGCCGCGUGUGUGAAGAAGGCCUUUUGGUUGUAAAGCACUUUAAGCAGGGAGGAGAGGCUAAUGGUUAAUACCCAUUAGAUUAGACGUUACCUGCAGAAUAAGCACCGGCUACUCUGCAGGUCC
This 530-nucleotide ribosomal RNA is filed under the name uncultured Enhydrobacter sp. RNAcentral describes it as "bacterial SSU rRNA". It matches the Rfam family "Bacterial small subunit ribosomal RNA", at positions 1 to 510 of the family's 1533-position model. Lineage: Bacteria; Pseudomonadati; Pseudomonadota; Alphaproteobacteria; Hyphomicrobiales. The record is from RNAcentral.